RNAcentral lists this ribosomal RNA (254 nucleotides) under uncultured bacterium. Its description in RNAcentral is "partial 16S ribosomal RNA". It matches the Rfam family "Bacterial small subunit ribosomal RNA", at positions 524 to 776 of the family's 1533-position model. The record is from RNAcentral.
UACGAGGGGGGCGAGCGUUUGUUCGGAAUUAUUGGGCGUAAAGGGUGCGUAGGCGGCCUGACAAGUCUGAUGUGAAAUCCCUGGGCUCAACCCAGGGCCUGCAUCGGAAACUGUCGGGCUUGAGUAUGGGAGAGGUGAGUGGAAUUUCCGGUGUAGCGGUGAAAUGCGUAGAUAUCGGAAGGAACACCUGUGGCGAAAGCGGCUCACUGGACCAUUACUGACGCUGAGGCACGAAAGCUAGUGGAGCAAACAGG